GUCCAGCUGAUGAGUCUCAAAUAGGACGAAAUGCGCGUCCUGGAU
This 45-nucleotide non-coding RNA is filed under the name Schistosoma haematobium. Lineage: Eukaryota; Metazoa; Platyhelminthes; Trematoda; Strigeidida; Schistosomatidae. The record is from RNAcentral.